CCGGCCUGGUAUUUCUGUCAGGUAUGGACCGACCCGGUAUUUUUCCCCUGCACAAUCCAGAUUAAUCCUUUUGAAAAAGGCUUGCACUGUGGAUUUAUCUAUGAUGGGCUUCGGCCUUCUAUUUUUUGGCCCAUUAAUCCUUAGCCGCUGCCGCCCAUUAAUCAUUAGCCGCCGUCGAUGCCAUUCUCUUUCGCUUCUGAGUUCUAACUUCUAAUGCCUUCAUCUCCAACCUCCGGUCAGUUUUCACCUCCACUGCUCCACCGCUUGAGGCGACCACCGGACCGAAUUACUUGUCGGAGCAGCAGGCAGCUAAUGGUGUAAACGGAAAAGAUUAAAAUAGACGAGUCUAGUGACGGCGGCGGUAAAUUUUAUAUCCGAUCGCAACAGAAGCUCAGUAUCUCAGCUCUUUCUUUGCUCUGCUGUUCAGUAUUCUUCGCUAGUGUUUCAGUCCUGCAAUUGAAUUUGAAUGUGGUUCCCUUACUGUUCUGGCAGAUUCUCCAUGAUAUAUUUAGCUCGAAUUAAGAAAUCGUUUAUUCCCUCGUCUGUUUUCACGAAUUUUGCUGAUAGGCAGCCUAGGUUUUAUAGAAAGUUAACA
RNAcentral lists this long non-coding RNA (595 nucleotides) under Linum usitatissimum (flax). RNAcentral describes it as "long non-coding RNA (LUSI_LNC003226)". Lineage: Eukaryota; Viridiplantae; Streptophyta; Magnoliopsida; Malpighiales; Linaceae. The record is from RNAcentral.